This 910-nucleotide ribosomal RNA is filed under the name Pedobacter sp. SFA3.3. RNAcentral describes it as "bacterial SSU rRNA". It matches the Rfam family "Bacterial small subunit ribosomal RNA", at positions 92 to 1003 of the family's 1533-position model. The record is from RNAcentral. Lineage: Bacteria; Pseudomonadati; Bacteroidota; Sphingobacteriia; Sphingobacteriales; Sphingobacteriaceae.
AAAGUGGCGCACGGGUGCGUAACGCGUAUGCAACCUACCUUUAUCUGGGGGAUAGCCCGGAGAAAUCCGGAUUAAUACCGCAUAAAAUCACAGGAUGGCAUUAUCCAAUGAUCAAACAUUUAUGGGAUGAAGAUGGGCAUGCGUGUCAUUAGCUAGUUGGCGGGGUAACGGCCCACCAAGGCGACGAUGACUAGGGGAUCUGAGAGGAUGGCCCCCCACACUGGUACUGAGACACGGACCAGACUCCUACGGGAGGCAGCAGUAAGGAAUAUUGGUCAAUGGAGGCAACUCUGAACCAGCCAUGCCGCGUGCAGGAAGACUGCCCUAUGGGUUGUAAACUGCUUUUAUCCGGGAAUAAACCUGAGUACGUGUACUUAGCUGAAUGUACCGGAAGAAUAAGGAUCGGCUAACUCCGUGCCAGCAGCCGCGGUAAUACGGAGGAUCCAAGCGUUAUCCGGAUUUAUUGGGUUUAAAGGGUGCGUAGGCGGCCUGUUAAGUCAGGGGUGAAAGACGGUAGCUCAACUAUCGCAGUGCCCUUGAUACUGAUGGGCUUGAAUGGACUAGAGGUAGGCGGAAUGAGACAAGUAGCGGUGAAAUGCAUAGAUAUGUCUCAGAACACCGAUUGCGAAGGCAGCUUACUAUGGUCUUAUUGACGCUGAGGCACGAAAGCGUGGGGAUCAAACAGGAUUAGAUACCCUGGUAGUCCACGCCCUAAACGAUGAACACUCGCUGUUGGCGAUACACAGUCAGCGGCUAAGCGAAAGCGUUAAGUGUUCCACCUGGGGAGUACGCUCGCAAGAGUGAAACUCAAAGGAAUUGACGGGGGCCCGCACAAGCGGAGGAGCAUGUGGUUUAAUUCGAUGAUACGCGAGGAACCUUACCCGGGCUUGAAAGUUAGUGAACCAUAGAG